This 481-nucleotide ribosomal RNA is filed under the name uncultured Clostridiaceae bacterium. RNAcentral's name for it is "partial 16S ribosomal RNA". Lineage: Bacteria; Bacillati; Bacillota; Clostridia; Eubacteriales; Clostridiaceae. The record is from RNAcentral.
ACGUAGUUAGCCGUGGCUUCCUCCUCAGGUACCGUCAUUAUCGUCCCUGAAGACAGAGCUUUACAACCCGAAGGCCGUCAUCACUCACGCGGCGUUGCUGCAUCAGGGUUUCCCCCAUUGUGCAAUAUUCCCCACUGCUGCCUCCCGUAGGAGUCUGGGCCGUGUCUCAGUCCCAAUGUGGCCGAUCACCCUCUCAGGUCGGCUACGCAUCGUCGCCUUGGUGAGCCGUUACCUCACCAACUAGCUAAUGCGCCGCGGGCCCAUCUCAUAGCGGAUUGCUCCUUUAAUUGCUACUUCAUGCGAAGCUACAAUCUUAUGCGGUAUUAAUCUCCCUUUCGGAAGGCUAUUCCCCUCUAUGAGGCAGGUUGCCCACGUGUUACUCACCCGUCGCCGCUAGCUUUGUCCGAAGAACUCCACUCGCUCGACUUGCAUGUGUUAGGCACGCCGCCAGCGUUGUCUGUAGCCAGGAGUCAAAACUACU